This 84-nucleotide transfer RNA is filed under the name Trichococcus palustris. It matches the Rfam family "tRNA". From Rfam's summary of the family: Transfer RNA (tRNA) molecules are approximately 80 nucleotides in length. Lineage: Bacteria; Bacillati; Bacillota; Bacilli; Lactobacillales; Carnobacteriaceae. The record is from Rfam by way of RNAcentral.
GGCCAUGUGGCGGAAUAGGCAGACGCGCCAGACUCAGAAUCUGGUAUCGGUUUCGAUGUGAGGGUUCAAGUCCCUUCGUGGCCA